AGCUCCAAUAGCGUAUCUUAAAGUUGCUGCAGUUAAAAAGCUCGUAGUUGGAUCUCGGGAUCGAGCUGACGGUCCGCCGCGAGGCGAGCUACCGUCUGUCCCAGCCCCUGCCUCUCGGCGCCCCCUCGGUUCUCUUAUGUGGGUUUUCUUCUCUGAACUGGGGCCAUGAUUAAGAGGGACGGCCGGGGGCAUUCGUAUUGUGCCGCUAGAGGUGAAAUUCUUGGACCGGCGCAAGACGGACGAAAGCGAAAGCAUUUGCCAAGAAUGUUUUCA
RNAcentral lists this ribosomal RNA (273 nucleotides) under uncultured eukaryote. Its description in RNAcentral is "partial small subunit ribosomal RNA". It matches the Rfam family "Eukaryotic small subunit ribosomal RNA", at positions 587 to 972 of the family's 1831-position model. The record is from RNAcentral.